RNAcentral lists this ribosomal RNA (468 nucleotides) under uncultured bacterium. RNAcentral describes it as "partial 16S ribosomal RNA". It matches the Rfam family "Bacterial small subunit ribosomal RNA", at positions 28 to 507 of the family's 1533-position model. The record is from RNAcentral.
GACGAACGCUGGCGGCGUGCUUAACACAUGCAAGUCGAACGGAAAGGCCCUGCUUUUGUGGUGUUCUCGAGUGGCGAACGGGUGAGUAACACGAGAGUAACCUGCCCUUGACUUUGGGAUAACUUCAGGAAACUGGGGCUAAUACCGGAUAGGAGCUCCUGCUGCAUGGUGGGGGUUGGAAAGUUUAGGCGGUUGGGGAUGGACGCGCGGCUUAUCAGCUUGUUGGUGGGGUAGUGGCUUACCAAGGCUGUGACGGGUAGCCGGCAUGAGAGGGUGAACGGCCACAUUGGGACUGAGGGACGGCCCAGACUCCUACGGGAGGCAGCAGUGGGGAAUAUUGCACAAUGGGCGGAAGCCUGAUGCAGCAACGCCGCGUGCGGGAUGACGGCCUUCGGGUUGUAAACCGCUUUCGGCUGUGACGAAGCGUGAGUGACGGUAAUGGGUAAAGAAGCACCGGCUAACUACGUG